This 497-nucleotide ribosomal RNA is filed under the name uncultured bacterium. Its description in RNAcentral is "partial 16S ribosomal RNA". It matches the Rfam family "Bacterial small subunit ribosomal RNA", at positions 28 to 507 of the family's 1533-position model. The record is from RNAcentral.
GAUGAACGCUGGCGGCGUGCCUAGUACAUGCAAGUCGAGCGAACAGACGAGGAGCUUGCUCCUCUGACGUUAGCGGCGGACGGGUGAGUAACACGUGGAUAACCUACCUAUAAGACUGGGAUAACUUCGGGAAACCGGAGCUAAUACCGGAUAAUAUAUUGAACCGCAUGGUUCAAUAGUGAAAGACGGUUUUGCUGUCACUUAUAGAUGGAUCCGCGCCGCAUUAGCUAGUUGGUAAGGUAACGGCUUACCAAGGCAACGAUGCGUAGCCGACCUGAGAGGGUGAUCGGCCACACUGGAACUGAGACACGGUCCAGACUCCUACGGGAGGCAGCGGUAGGGAAUCUUCCGCAAUGGGCGAAAGCCUGACGGAGCAACGCCGCGUGAGUGAUGAAGGUCUUCGGAUCGUAAAACUCUGUUAUUAGGGAAGAACAAAUGUGUAAGUAACUAUGCACGUCUUGACGGUACCUAAUCAGAAAGCCACGGCUAACUACGUG